GCGGCGUAGCUCAACUAGCCAGAGCACUCGCUUGAUAAGCGAGCGACGGCGGUGCGACUCCGCCCGCCGCUA
Molecule: transfer RNA, 72 nt
Filed under: Pyrinomonadaceae bacterium
Lineage: Bacteria; Pseudomonadati; Acidobacteriota; Blastocatellia; Blastocatellales; Pyrinomonadaceae
Description: tRNA-Ile
Rfam family: tRNA
About the family: Transfer RNA (tRNA) molecules are approximately 80 nucleotides in length. Their secondary structure includes four short double-helical elements and three loops (D, anti-codon, and T loops). Further hydrogen bonds mediate the characteristic L-shaped molecular structure. tRNAs have two regions of fundamental functional importance: the anti-codon, which is responsible for specific mRNA codon recognition, and the 3' end, to which the tRNAs corresponding amino acid is attached (by aminoacyl-tRNA synthetases). tRNAs cope with the degeneracy of the genetic code in two manners: having more than one tRNA (with a specific anti-codon) for a particular amino acid; and 'wobble' base-pairing, i.e. permitting non-standard base-pairing at the 3rd anti-codon position.
Source: RNAcentral